This 1162-nucleotide long non-coding RNA is filed under the name Podarcis muralis (Common wall lizard). RNAcentral describes it as "lncRNA (ENSPMRG00000008396.1)". The record is from RNAcentral. Lineage: Eukaryota; Metazoa; Chordata; Lepidosauria; Squamata; Lacertidae.
AUCUCACAAAGAGGAUACAAAGGCAGGAAGACUCCAUGUUGCUUUCUCCCAGCAUCUUGUACUGAAAAGAACUGGUUCCUCUUAACAUGGCAGUUCCAUUUAGCUAUCACAGAUAAUGUAAAUAAUACACUUCUACUCCAAGAAACCCAGAAACAGCCAGAGAAACUUAAGCUGUUCAUUUAAAGACUGGAAGGAAAUUGGCAGUAUGUGAAAAUCUGGACCUCCUAUACUUGUUGAAAACAAAGUUCUGUGGAUGUCACAGUGCUCUGAACAGCAGUUUAGAAAUGAAGAUAAAUACCUGUGUCUGGCUUUUCACACCUGGAAAUUCCUGUAUUGCCUGAUGCCAAGAUUCAAGGCUUCAAGCAGACACCCUAAUGAGAAGGCACGCUGUGACAAUCUGCUAGGGAGCUGCAAUGCCUCAUCUAGACACUGGACAAACCUGCAUAGUUGCUGAAUAAUGGGCUUCAGACCAUGACCUGGGCUCACUGCUAUCACAUUUAAUUUGACUUUGAGAUAUUUAGAAUAGAAAAUGAGGUUUAAUGGAAUCUGCAAGCCGACAAGCAGUCAGAAUGUAAGUGAUUUUACAUUUUACUGCCAAUAUACAUUUUCCCCAGAAGUACUGGACUGACCACUGUUGAAAACAGAAUGCUGAGCUAGGUGGACUAUGGUCUGCCCAACCAUACCUUGCUAUAUUUUUUAUUGUCUUUUGGACCAGAUUGUUGGGUAACAAUGGGCACAGGAUUUUAAUAGCAGUUACAGUGAUUUCGUUUGCCCUUGGAGUGAUCUUAGCUUUGAAACUUGCUUUACACGCAGGCAUACCAGCAAGUUGAAUGUUGAUUCACCUAUCCUGCCCCCCCCCAAGUAAAAAAUAACAACAGGGGGCUCUCUUCCUGUGUGUGUUUGUUUCCAGAAUAGUUAUAAAAUCAGUGGGAGGCUGGCUGUUGCUGAUGUCCCUGGUGCUUACCAAUAGGCAGACUCCACAUAAGCAUUUUCAUGAUUUACACUGAACCACAGUGAAAACCAGGAGAGCAUGCAUUAGGAUGGAAAUAAAUUUAUUAACAUUUGACUUCAAUAUUACAUUCAAUAUUUUCAAAACUUCAACGUUUGUUGGGUUUUGGUAUGGUUUAUUAUUAUUUUAUUGCAUUUUCAGCUGUCUUGAAUG